UGCGCAGGCGGUUGAGUAAGACAGAUGUGAAAUCCCCGAGCUUAACUCGGGAAUGGCAUAUGUGACUGCUCGACUAGAGUGUGUCAGAGGGAGGUGGAAUUCCACGUGUAGCAGUGAAAUGCGUAGAUAUGUGGAAGAACACCGAUGGCGAAGGCAGCCUCCUGGGACAUAACUGAGCUCAGGCACGAAGCGUGGGGAGCAAACA
This 205-nucleotide ribosomal RNA is filed under the name uncultured bacterium. Its description in RNAcentral is "partial 16S ribosomal RNA". It matches the Rfam family "Bacterial small subunit ribosomal RNA", at positions 568 to 774 of the family's 1533-position model. The record is from RNAcentral.